GGUAUUGAUUGGUGCUUGCAUCAUGAUUUACAUUUGAGUGAGUGGCGAACUGGUGAGUAACACGUGGGAAACCUGCCCAGAAGCGGGGGAUAACACCUGGAAACAGAUGCUAAUACCGCAUAACAACUUGGACCGCAUGGUCCGAGUUUGAAAGAUGGCUUCGGCUAUCACUUUUGGAUGGUCCCGCGGCGUAUUAGCUAGAUGGUGGGGUAACGGCUCACCAUGGCAAUGAUACGUAGCCGACCUGAGAGGGUAAUCGGCCACAUUGGGACUGAGACACGGCCCAAACUCCUACGGGAGGCAGCAGUAGGGAAUCUUCCACAAUGGACGAAAGUCUGAUGGAGCAACGCCGCGUGAGUGAAGAAGGGUUUCGGCUCGUAAAACUCUGUUGUUAAAGAAGAACAUAUCUGAGAGUAACUGUUCAGGUAUUGACGGUAUUUAACCAGAAAGCCACGGCUAACUACGUGCCAGCAGCCGCGGUAAUACGUAGGUGGCAAGCGUUGUCCGGAUUUAUUGGGCGUAAAGCGAGCGCAGGCGGUUUUUUAAGUCUGAUGUGAAAGCCUUCGGCUCAACCGAAGAAGUGCAUCGGAAACUGGGAAACUUGAGUGCAGAAGAGGACAGUGGAACUCCAUGUGUAGCGGUGAAAUGCGUAGAUAUAUGGAAGAACACCAGUGGCGAAGGCGGCUGUCUGGUCUGUAACUGACGCUGAGGCUCGAAAGUAUGGGUAGCAAACAGGAUUAGAUACCCUGGUAGUCCAUACCGUAAACGAUGAAUGCUAAGUGUUGGAGGGUUUCCGCCCUUCAGUGCUGCAGCUAACGCAUUAAGCAUUCCGCCUGGGGAGUACGGCCGCAAGGCUGAAACUCAAAGGAAUUGACGGGGGCCCGCACAAGCGGUGGAGCAUGUGGUUUAAUUCGAAGCUACGCGAAGAACCUUACCAGGUCUUGACAUACUAUGCAAAUCUAAGAGAUUAGACGUUCCCUUCGGGGACAUGGAUACAGGUGGUGCAUGGUUGUCGUCAGCUCGUGUCGUGAGAUGUUGGGUUAAGUCCCGCAACGAGCGCAACCCUUAUUAUCAGUUGCCAGCAUUA
RNAcentral lists this ribosomal RNA (1087 nucleotides) under Lactiplantibacillus pentosus. Its description in RNAcentral is "bacterial SSU rRNA". It matches the Rfam family "Bacterial small subunit ribosomal RNA", at positions 68 to 1126 of the family's 1533-position model. The record is from RNAcentral. Lineage: Bacteria; Bacillati; Bacillota; Bacilli; Lactobacillales; Lactobacillaceae.